RNAcentral lists this ribosomal RNA (253 nucleotides) under uncultured bacterium. RNAcentral's name for it is "partial 16S ribosomal RNA". It matches the Rfam family "Bacterial small subunit ribosomal RNA", at positions 524 to 776 of the family's 1533-position model. The record is from RNAcentral.
GACAGAGGGUGCAAACGUUGCUCGGAAUCACUGGGCGUAAAGGGCGUGUAGGCGGGAAGGAAAGUCAGAUGUGAAAUCCCUGGGCUCAACCCAGGAACUGCAUUUGAAACUCCCUUUCUUGAGUACCGGAGAGGAAGGUGGAAUACCUGGUGUAGAGGUGAAAUGCGUAGAUAUCUGGAGGAAUACCGGUGGCGAAGGCGGCAUCCUGGACCGACAUUGACGCUGAUGAGCGAAAGCUAGGGGAGCAAACGGG